GAGAAAACACUGGGAGUAACCACAACUGCCAAUACUAAAUUCUAAUGAGUUAAUUCUCAACAGUGGCUUCAAACAACACAGUGAAAAUGUGUGAAUGAAAGGAAAACACCAAACUUAACCUGAAAAGAGACUCCUGGACUCGCCAUCCCCAGCCUUUCCUUCAAGCCUCAAUCUCUAUCAAUAAUUGGAACAACAUCCUCCAGGCAUAUUGAAGACCACAAGAAGUGAGCUCUGCCCUGCAGGGUGCCACAGAGAAAGAGAGAGACCAACUCAAAGAAAGACCUACCGCAGGGGACACAGGUUAACUGUGGUGUAGUGAAUAAGAAUCCGCAUGCCAGUGCAGGGGACACAGGUUCAAUCCCUGGUCCAGGAAGAUCCCACAUGCCCAUGUGCCACAACUAUCGACAGCCCACGAGCCUCAACUAUUAAGCCCGUGCAUCCCAGCUACUGAAGCCUGUGAGCCUAGAGCCUGUCCACAACGAGAAGCCACGUUCCUUGGCUACACAGAAGAAGAUAACUUUUGGAGACUUUUUUCCUGCCUUGGUCUAGAAACAGGAGGAGACCUGAUGCUGCCACAGCACUGAGCCAUAUAAAACCAGCAUAAGAGGAUCCCUCCUGAGUCUUCUACAGAAUUUGCUUCUAUAAGCCAUAGAACUGGAGGACCAUUGACUUCAUAUUCCCUUCAAGGCAUGAAUUCUUUUAGAAACAAGAACAGUCAACCCUUCCUUGAAUAUUUCUGGAAAGAGUUCACCAUCUUGAUAAAACAUCCUUUUCCAUUUUUAAGAAAUGCUACAAAACUAUUUCUAUCAUGUUGAAAUUUACCUCCAUUUAAUG
Long non-coding RNA from Bos taurus (domestic cattle), 834 nucleotides. NCBI's taxonomy places the organism in Eukaryota, Metazoa, Chordata, Mammalia, Artiodactyla, Bovidae. The record is from Ensembl.